GACGAACGCUGGCGGCGUGCUUAGCACAUGCAAGUCGAACGGAAAGGCCCUGCUUUUGUGGGGUGCUCGAGUGGCGAACGGGUGAGUAACACGUGAGUAACCUGCCCUUGACUUUGGGAUAACUUCAGGAAACUGGGGCUAAUACCGGAUAGGAGCUCCUGCUGCAUGGUGGGGGUUGGAAAGUUUCGGCGGUUGGGGAUGGACUCGCGGCUUAUCAGCUUGUUGGUGGGGUAGUGGCUUACCAAGGCUUUGACGGGUAGCCGGCCUGAGAGGGUGACCGGCCACAUUGGGACUGAGAUACGGCCCAGACUCCUACGGGAGGCAGCAGUGGUGAAUAUUGCACAAUGGGCGGAAGCCGGAUGCAGCAACGCCGCGUGCGGGAUGACGGCCUUCGGGCUGUAAACCGCUUUCGCCUGUGACGAAGCGUGAGUGACGGUAAUGGGUAAAGAAGCACCGGCUAACUACGUG
RNAcentral lists this ribosomal RNA (468 nucleotides) under uncultured bacterium. RNAcentral's name for it is "partial 16S ribosomal RNA". It matches the Rfam family "Bacterial small subunit ribosomal RNA", at positions 28 to 507 of the family's 1533-position model. The record is from RNAcentral.